This 199-nucleotide long non-coding RNA is filed under the name Elaeis guineensis (African oil palm). Its description in RNAcentral is "long non-coding RNA (EGUI_LNC066816)". The record is from RNAcentral. Lineage: Eukaryota; Viridiplantae; Streptophyta; Magnoliopsida; Arecales; Arecaceae.
CCUCCAUCUUGAGUUUUUCUGAGAGCAUCUCAGAUCUAAAACUCCUCCUCCUAUUUUUCAUAUUUGAAAGAGCCCAAAUUAAGAAGAAGGAGGUACCUGAUCAACCAUCGAAGAAGGAUCAGCGCAGUACUAGCAUACUGUGCUGAUUUCCUGAAGCAGGACUUCUGAUCGAGAUUCGUGGGCUCGUGUGGAUGACUCC